This 107-nucleotide small nuclear RNA is filed under the name Echinops telfairi (small Madagascar hedgehog). The record is from RNAcentral. Lineage: Eukaryota; Metazoa; Chordata; Mammalia; Afrosoricida; Tenrecidae.
GUGCUCGCUUCGGCCGCACAUAUACUUAAAUUGGAAUGAUACAGAGAAGAUUAGCAUGGCCCCUGCGCAAGGAUGACACGCAAAUUGGUGAAGUGUUCCAUAUUUAA